CCCAAUUCCCUUGCGCCGAAUCCCUUCUUCCCCCGAGCCUCACCUCACGACACACCUCCUUCACCGAGCUCUCCCUCCUUCUUCGCUCUCCCUCGCGAGUUCCCGCACCAGCGGUCGGCAAGCUUCUCUUCUCCUCACGCGACGCCACCCUCCUUCACCUAGCUCUCCCUCCUUCUUCGCUCUCCUUCGCGAGUUCCCGCACCAGCGGCCGGCAAGCUUCUCCUCUCCUCACGCGACGCCACCCUCCCUCCGGCUUGAGGAUCGAAUCGGAGUGGCGAAUGAAGGUUCAUCAGCGGCGGAACCCUAGCAAUUUGUCCUUGCCGCAGUCGUUCACUCUAACGCCGCCCCUCUCUUGAUCCGAGGCCGUUGCUGCGCCGCACCCCACCUAUUGGCCAUCAUCGAGUCAUCUCUACACACGACGACAGCCGGGUUGUCCUUGCGCACGACGGUCACCAAGAUUCCUCUACGCGAUCUUCCUAUGCCAGCGGUGAGCAUUAGCUUCGUCGUUGCCAGAUGCAUCUGUUGUCAGCCCAACUCAUUGACGCCAUGUCCGAUCUCAGCCUUGUUGCGCUCUAGUGUCACCAUCAAGGGAAGGGAAUGUGUUGUUAGCUACCGUGAUCGAUCUCGGUAUCUUGUAGGCUUGAUCAGAGUUGGAUAUUGUUUCCAAUACGACCCAAUGGAUUUAGAACGGACACCUUAAGUUGGGAUAUGGAAUCAAGAAGCGGAGGUAUUAAAGCUAAGCUAUGGUUUUGAUUCUAAGUUGAAACGAACUCUUGGACGUGAAGAUAUUCCGCACGAUCUACGUAUAAAGGCGGGUACUUCUUACUUUUUCUCUUUAGUUCUUUGAACUUGAUGCAUGAGCUAUUUUUGGAUAAGGACCAUUUUACCUUGACUCCACUCUUAUUUUCUUGCGCCUGAUACUUUCACUCAAACUUUUGACUUAUUCGUUUCUAUAUCCAUACAGUCUCUUAUUGUCAUCUAUGAUAUUUAGCAGAUAUUGGAUACCAUGUUUGCAUGUUUUGAUUGUUGUUUAGUUCUGUUCUGUGUUGAGCAUGCUGACUUCAUGUAGCAUACCUGAUUCUUGUUUAUAUAUAUAUAUGAUGAUUGUUGCAUUUGGUGCAAUAUAUCAUGGCAGACAUGUCAACGACCAAUUCUCCCUUGCGGUCGAGAGAGUCGUUGAC
Long non-coding RNA from Zingiber officinale, 1181 nucleotides. RefSeq lists it as uncharacterized. The record is from RefSeq and is a predicted model, not a curated record. Lineage: Eukaryota; Viridiplantae; Streptophyta; Magnoliopsida; Zingiberales; Zingiberaceae. The transcript has 3 exons.